Molecule: long non-coding RNA, 725 nt
Filed under: Setaria viridis
Lineage: Eukaryota; Viridiplantae; Streptophyta; Magnoliopsida; Poales; Poaceae
Description: long non-coding RNA (SVIR_LNC011332)
Source: RNAcentral
AAAAAGGAAACCCCAAAGCUCCGCACACGUAUUCCAAGGUCGCAAUCGCAUCCCACUCCAUCGAUCGAUUUAGUUGUAGGCGUCCGGGUUGGCGACGAGGUAGCCCUCGGCGGCCUUGAAGAUGGCGGUGACGGACUCCUUGGCCUUGGCGACGUCGUCCUCCUUCAUCUCCACGCUCGGCAGCGGCUUGUACGUCGACUCCACCUUCACCACGCUGCCGCCGCCGGCCGCCGGCUCCACCUUGAUGUGCGACGUCGCGGACUCGAUGGCCACGCCGAUGCCGCCGCCCUCGACGAGGGUGGACUUGCACUCGCACUUGUCCACGUCCAGGAACUCGAGCUUCUCCUUCAUGAAGCUGAACGGCAUGGCUGCAAGAGCAACGAUAAUUAAUCACCGGCAACAACACGUUUGGCUGGCUUGGAGGAUGUGCCGCGGGCGCUUACCUGAGGUGAAGUUGAACUGCCUGACGCUGCCGACGCCGCCCUCGCCCUCCACGGGGUGGGCGCUGGCGACGACGAGGGAGACGAGCUUGGGAGCCAGGGUGUGCCAGUCCAUCACCGCGGCGCGGAACAGGCGCGGCGCGGCCACCGGGGACGCGAUCUCGAGGGUCCAGCUGUUGGCGGAGGCCAUUGGUGCACUAGCGAUCGGCCGAGCAGAAACGAUCUUACGAUCAGCUCAGUGCGGGGCAGUGCUGCUGUAAGUUUGAAGCUGCUGCUGCUUGUGUU